This 401-nucleotide long non-coding RNA is filed under the name Vitis vinifera (wine grape). RNAcentral describes it as "long non-coding RNA (VVIN_LNC007959)". Lineage: Eukaryota; Viridiplantae; Streptophyta; Magnoliopsida; Vitales; Vitaceae. The record is from RNAcentral.
CCACCUCAAAAAAUAUAUACCAAAAUAUCAAUUACAAAAUACAAAAAGACCACUUUUAAGAAUUUAUUUUUAUAAUAUAUAUUAGGGUUUAAGUAAAAUUAAUUUAUAAGCAUUAAAUAAAAUUAAAAAUAAAAUAAAAAAUAUUUUAUAAAAUUUAUUUAGUAUCUAUACUUAUCUAAGUUGGAUACUUUUAACUUUUAAAAUUUGAAUAUGGUUUCGGGGUUCUAAAUUCAAUAAUUUAUUUUAAAGAUAAGUUAGAAUAAAUACUCACAUCUUUUUUAAAAAUGAAUUUUUUUAUUUUGGUAUCGUUAAGAAUAAACAGUUAAAAUCAAAGCUUGAACAUAUCUAAUACCACGUUCAACUUCCCAAACAAAUAACAAUAUUAGUUGUCGGGAUACUUC